Molecule: ribosomal RNA, 378 nt
Filed under: uncultured bacterium
Lineage: Bacteria
Description: partial 16S ribosomal RNA
Rfam family: Bacterial small subunit ribosomal RNA
Source: RNAcentral
CCUACGGUGGGCAGCAGUGGGGAAUAUUGCGCAAUGGGGGGAAGCCUGAUGCAGCGACGCCGCGUGGGGGAUGGAGUAUUUCGGUAUGUAAAGCUCUGUCAGCAGGGAAGAACAGUGACUGUACCAGACUAAGAAGCACCGACAAAAUACGUGCCAGCAGCCGCGGUAAUACGUAUGGUGGAAGCGUUAGCCGGAUUGACUGGGUGUAAAGUGAGCGCAGGCGGUGCGUUAAGACUGGUGUGAAAGUCCCGGGCCCAACCGGGGGACUGCAUUGGGAACUGGCGCGCUGGAGUGCGGGAGGGGAUGGUGGAAUUCCUGGUGUAGCGGUGAAAUGCGUAGAUAUCAGGAGGAACAUCAGUGGCGAAGGCGACCAUCUGG